UGGAUCCAGACUUUGAUCAUGGCUCAGGAUGAACGCUAGCGACAGGCUUAACACAUGCAAGUCGAGGGGCAGCAGGGAAGGAAGCUUGCUUUCUUCCGCCGGCGACCGGCGCACGGGUGAGUAACACGUAUGCAACCUGCCCUGUGCAGGGGGAUAACCGGAAGAAAUUCCGACUAAUACCGCAUAACGCCCGGGGAAGACAUCUUCCUUGGGCCAAAGGAGGCAACUCCGGCACAGGAUGGGCAUGCGGCGCAUUAGCUUGUUGGCGGGGUAACGGCCCACCAAGGCGACGAUGCGUAGGGGUUCUGAGAGGAAGGUCCCCCACAUUGGUACUGAGACACGGACCAAACUCCUACGGGAGGCAGCAGUGAGGAAUAUUGGUCAAUGGGCGAAGCCUGAACCAGCCAAGUCGCGUGAGGGAAGACGGUCCUAUGGAUUGUAAACCUCUUUUGCCGGGGAGCGAAGCCGGGCUCGUGAGCCCGGAAGGAGAGUACCCGGAGAAAAAGCAUCGGCUAACUCCGUGCCAGCAGCCGCGGUAAUACGGAGGAUGCGAGCGUUAUCCGGAUUUAUUGGGUUUAAAGGGUGCGUAGGCGGACUUUUAAGUCAGCGGUAAAAUGUCGGGGCUCAACCCCGGCCGGCCGUUGAAACUGAGAGUCUUGAGUGGGCGAGGAGUAUGCGGAAUGCGUGGUGUAGCGGUGAAAUGCAUAGAUAUCACGCAGAACUCCGAUUGCGAAGGCAGCAUACCGGCGCCCAACUGACGCUGAGGCACGAAAGCGUGGGGAUCGAACAGGAUUAGAUACCCUGGUAGUCCACGCAGUAAACGAUGAAUGCUCGCUGUCCGGGACUUCGGUCCUGGGUGGCCAAGCGAAAGCGUUAAGCAUUCCACCUGGGGAGUACGCCGGCAACGGUGCAACUCAAAGGAAUUGACGGA
This 931-nucleotide ribosomal RNA is filed under the name uncultured Bacteroidota bacterium. RNAcentral's name for it is "bacterial SSU rRNA". It matches the Rfam family "Bacterial small subunit ribosomal RNA", at positions 1 to 917 of the family's 1533-position model. Lineage: Bacteria; Pseudomonadati; Bacteroidota. The record is from RNAcentral.